UCUCUUUUCUUCUUUUUCUAAAAUGAAUCUGGGAGUUUCCUUUAGCCCCUGUUUUGUGGUCGCCUCCCAUACACGUUUUAUCUGUCCGUGGCAUUUUCUUUUAUUUAUUGAAAGCACCGUGUCUUAGAUCAAGUCUUGAGAAACAGAACCUGAGACAAACAUGAAUGUGGUUAAUUGAACGAGCGCUGUGCAGGAAAAGCUGUACUGGAGAGAGGCCUGGCCUGGUGUUCAGAACACAAAUGUGAAAAAUCAGACCGGGAAGAUCACGGGAGGCAGGAAGCAUCUGGUUUGCAGGAGUCUCACUCUGUCACCCAGGCUGGAGUGCAGUGGCGUGAUCUCAGCUGACUGCAAUCUCCACCCAAGUUCAAGAGAUUCUUCUGCCUCAGCCUCCCACGUAGCUGGGACUACAG
This 410-nucleotide long non-coding RNA is filed under the name Homo sapiens (human). Its description in RNAcentral is "HSALNT0345818". The record is from RNAcentral. Lineage: Eukaryota; Metazoa; Chordata; Mammalia; Primates; Hominidae.